Molecule: non-coding RNA, 169 nt
Filed under: uncultured Sporosarcina sp.
Lineage: Bacteria; Bacillati; Bacillota; Bacilli; Caryophanales; Caryophanaceae
Description: Lysine riboswitch
Rfam family: Lysine riboswitch aptamer
About the family: Riboswitches are metabolite binding domains within certain messenger RNAs that serve as precision sensors for their corresponding targets.
Source: RNAcentral
UUAGGUAGAGGCUGCAGAACUUAUAAGUACUGGACGUUAGAUUGACAUCUUUGAUCGUUCGUGAAAGGAAGUUUUGCCGAAGUAUGAAAUUGGAUUGUCAAUCCAUUCAUAUUGGGGUUAUUUCGAAUAGGAAUGACACUGUCAUGCAUAGGUGCAUGAUGAGCUACAG